AGCAGCCGCGGUAAUUCCAGCUCCAAUAGCGUAUAUUAAAGUUGUUGCAGUUAAAAAGCUCGUAGUUGAACCUCGGGGUCUACCCAUUGGUCAGGCUUAAUUGUCUGCACUGGUGAGAUGGAUCUCUACCUUCUGAGGAACUUUCAUGCCAUUUAUUUGGUGUGAUGGGAAAUCAGGACUGUUACUUUGAAAAAAU
RNAcentral lists this ribosomal RNA (196 nucleotides) under uncultured Diversispora. Its description in RNAcentral is "partial 18S ribosomal RNA". It matches the Rfam family "Eukaryotic small subunit ribosomal RNA", at positions 569 to 766 of the family's 1831-position model. The record is from RNAcentral. Lineage: Eukaryota; Fungi; Glomeromycota; Glomeromycetes; Diversisporales; Diversisporaceae.